CUUGUGGAGCGAUCAGGCCCGCCCUUCUUUUCUGAGCUGGUGGGAGAACUUUGUGGCUGGUUGUCUUAUGUUGGAAGGACUUCACCGCCAUCACCCUGAUCCUUCCUUCCAGGGCUGUAUGGAGGAGCUUGCCACCAAUAACUAGCGACCUGAGAAGGAUAUCUAGUCCCUCAGAACAAUGAAGAAUGUGAACAAGGGUCCUUAGCAGACCAAAGAGGUCCAGCACAGGGUAAAGUUCCCCAUAGAAACAUUGUGAUGGGCACAGUUCUGCCUCUCUUUUGAAAACUCUCUGCUGUGGUCUGCCUGUGCCCAAGGCUUGGUGUUGAUGAAAACCAUGAGUUUCCUGCCACAAAUAUUAAGGGUCCCAAGGAAGUGCCAACAAAAUGCUAACCCAAGGGCAAGGUUUUCUGGAAACAAGUCGUUUAAAAACAUAACAAGACAAAACAAAACAAGUAAUAACAAAACCACCGUCUCAACCUUUGAAGGGAUGCACGCACAAUUUCUAGAGAAGGGAAAGUUCGCCCUCUAGUGGCCAAGAGAAAACAGUUCAUGAAAUUGAAGCGUGGAUCCUAUGGUGCUUUUUAAAGAAACUCACCUCUAAGUUAGGACUUUAUUCUGCCCUUUGUGUCGACACUUCCUUACUCAUGGAUCUUGAUCUAGAUACUUCUACUGUUAGUUUAAAAAUUAAUAAUUUUAGUUUUAUAAUAUUAUGCUCUUGUCUAACUUUUUAAAGCAUCGAAAGAAAAAAAUCCAGGUGGAGAACAAUUUAUUCUUACUGGUAUAUUUUUAAAGUCCUAGGUGUGAUGUGAGUGCUAAAUAGAAGCACGCCUUGAUUUACUUUGUUUUGG
Molecule: long non-coding RNA, 848 nt
Filed under: Mus caroli (Ryukyu mouse)
Lineage: Eukaryota; Metazoa; Chordata; Mammalia; Rodentia; Muridae
Description: lncRNA (MGP_CAROLIEiJ_G0004422.1)
Source: RNAcentral